UUACAUAAGCAAAAAUAAUGAAAGUUAUUGACGCAAAGCCACGGGUCUAAGUUAAAUUAGUGAUAAUAUGAUCGCCAAGUUGCA
This 84-nucleotide non-coding RNA is filed under the name uncultured Bulleidia sp. Its description in RNAcentral is "Cyclic di-GMP-I riboswitch". It matches the Rfam family "c-di-GMP-I riboswitch aptamer". From Rfam's summary of the family: GEMM was predicted in a large-scale screen for bacterial structured RNA regulatory elements. Genes associated with GEMM are involved in a diverse array of functions, including chemotaxis regulation, signal transduction, secretion and chitin. The record is from RNAcentral. Lineage: Bacteria; Bacillati; Bacillota; Erysipelotrichia; Erysipelotrichales; Erysipelotrichaceae.